RNAcentral lists this ribosomal RNA (492 nucleotides) under uncultured bacterium. RNAcentral's name for it is "partial 16S ribosomal RNA". It matches the Rfam family "Bacterial small subunit ribosomal RNA", at positions 29 to 507 of the family's 1533-position model. The record is from RNAcentral.
AGUGAACGCUGGCGGUAGGCCUAACACAUGCAAGUCGAACGGCAGCACAGUAAGAGCUUGCUCUUACGGGUGGCGAGUGGCGGACGGGUGAGGAAUACAUCGGAAUCUACUUUUUCGUGGGGGAUAACGUAGGGAAACUUACGCUAAUACCGCAUACGACCUACGGGUGAAAGCAGGGGAUCUUCGGACCUUGCGCGAUUGAAUGAGCCGCUGUCGGCUUAGCGAGUUGGCGGGGUAAAGGGCCACCAAGGCGACGAUGCGUAGCUAGUCUGAGAGGAUGACCAGCCACACGUGAACUGAGACACGCUCCCGACGCCUAAGGGAGGCACGAGUGGGGAAUCUUCGACAAGGGGCGGAAGCCUGAUCUCGCCAUACCGCGUAGGUGAAGAAGGGCUUCGGGUUGUACAGCCCUUUUGUUGGGAAAGAAAAGCAGCAGGUUAAUACCCAGCUGUUCUGACUGUACCCUAAGAAUAAGCACCGGCUAACUUCGUG